AGAGUAGGCGCAGGUGGUUGCGGACUCGUUCAUACCGAGUCUGAGGAAAGUCCGGACUCCCGAAAGACCAAACUUGCUGGGUAACGCCCAGUGCGGGCGACCGUGAGGAUAGUGCCACAGAAAGAUACCGCCAACCGAUUUUGGAUUUUAGAUUUUAGAUUCAAAAUUGCUUGGUAAGGGUGCAAAGGUGCGGUAAGAGCGCACCAGCAGCGUCGAGAGUCGCUGGCUCGGUAAACCCCGGUUGGGAGCAAGGUAGGAACCACGGUUGGUCUUUUCCCGGUUCCGCUAAUUUAACCGCUUGAGGCAUCUGGUAACAGGUGUCCCAGAUAGAUAACCGCCCUCUUGGCGGCACAGCUGCUAGGUAGAACAGAACCCGGCUUAUGUCCGACUCUCUCC
Molecule: RNase P RNA, 396 nt
Filed under: Trichocoleus sp. FACHB-90
Lineage: Bacteria; Bacillati; Cyanobacteriota; Cyanophyceae; Leptolyngbyales; Trichocoleusaceae
Also listed under: 1 other name
Description: RNase P RNA component class A
Rfam family: Bacterial RNase P class A
About the family: Ribonuclease P (RNase P) is a ubiquitous endoribonuclease, found in archaea, bacteria and eukarya as well as chloroplasts and mitochondria. Its best characterised activity is the generation of mature 5'-ends of tRNAs by cleaving the 5'-leader elements of precursor-tRNAs. Cellular RNase Ps are ribonucleoproteins.
Source: RNAcentral